This 253-nucleotide ribosomal RNA is filed under the name uncultured bacterium. RNAcentral's name for it is "partial 16S ribosomal RNA". It matches the Rfam family "Bacterial small subunit ribosomal RNA", at positions 524 to 776 of the family's 1533-position model. The record is from RNAcentral.
UACGUAGGGCGCAAGCGUUAUCCGGAAUUAUUGGGCGUAAAGAGCUCGUAGGCGGUUUGUCGCGUCUGCUGUGAAAACUCGGGGCUCAACUCCGAGCUUGCAGUGGGUACGGGCAGACUAGAGUGCGGUAGGGGAGACUGGAAUUCCUGGUGUAGCGGUGAAAUGCGCAGAUAUCAGGAAGAACACCCGUGGCGAAGGCGGCUCUCUGGGACGGUACUGACGCUGAGACGCGAAAGCGUGGGGAGCGAACAGG